RNA transcript from Nycticebus coucang (slow loris), 704 nucleotides. It is a transcript of the gene named protein FAM204A-like, with no coding region annotated. Lineage: Eukaryota; Metazoa; Chordata; Mammalia; Primates; Lorisidae. The transcript has a single exon. The record is from RefSeq and is a predicted model, not a curated record.
GAAAAGAUGUGGAGUGGGCUGCUACCUCCUGGCCUAAAUGAAGGUGAUAUUGAGUUGAAUUCUGAAGAUGAAGCCACUUUAGAGGACUCUGGACUUAACUUGCACGAAAAUAAAGAGGAUGGAAACAUUAGAAAAACAGAAACCUUGGAUUUUCCAACAGAUGGUUCAAAAACUGAAACAGAGGCAAAUGUAAAUGCGUAUGAAGAAUGCCCUUCUGGAAUUCUCUUAAAUAUGUGGAAUAAAUUUCAAGAAUUGCAUAAAAAACAUUCUGAACAGAAAAGCUCAACAUCAAGAUUCAGAAGGAAAAAAAGAAAACACUCCAGAAAAGGUAAAUUGAAGAAAGAAAAAGAAACUCAUAGUGAACAGCCCUGAAAUGAAACCCACUGGAAGGAAGUUAGUAUUUUGGAGUCAAUGAUAGAUUUGAACCCCCUGUUAAAAAGAAAAAAGUUGAAAAGUCAGACCUUGAAAAGAGGAUACACCAAGCUGUGGAAGAGUGGAAUAUUGAGAAGGCCGAAGAACUCAGCAACCAACUAGCUACCCGAGAGCUAGGUGUAAAAACUGCCAAAGCAGUUGCUUGCCACAACUUCUUAAAAGCCAAAAAGGAGGCUGAAAAUUCACAGGCUGCUCGAAAAAAGAAGAAACUUGCAUGGGGGUUUGAAGCAAAGAAAAGAUGGGAAACCAAAAGCAACACAGGAUGUAUGUAA